UUAACUAUUUAUAUAGUACUCAGACGACACUAAUAAUUCAGAGUUUGGGGUCCUCUGGCGAGCACUCACCAGCGUAAGCCGGUGGCCGAAGCGGCUCGCCAAAGCAACAAAGGUACAAUAACAUAGGGUUGGAGAGUCACCCAUGAGGGCGAUAUUCUCUGUAAUGAUCCUUCCGCAGGUUCACCUACGGAAA
Molecule: unclassified non-coding RNA, 193 nt
Filed under: uncultured fungus
Lineage: Eukaryota; Fungi
Description: sequence contains ITS1
Source: RNAcentral